AGAGUUUGAUCAUGGCUCAGAUUGAACGCUGGCGGCAGGCUUAACACAUGCAAGUCGAGCGGAGAUGAGGUGCUUGCACCUUAUCUUAGCGGCGGACGGGUGAGUAAUGCUUAGGAAUCUGCCUAUUAGUGGGGGACAACAUUCCGAAAGGAAUGCUAAUACCGCAUACGUCCUACGGGAGAAAGCAGGGGAUCUUCGGACCUUGCGCUAAUAGAUGAGCCUAAGUCGGAUUAGCUAGUUGGUGGGGUAAAGGCCUACCAAGGCGACGAUCUGUAGCGGGUCUGAGAGGAUGAUCCGCCACACUGGGACUGAGACACGGCCCAGACUCCUACGGGAGGCAGCAGUGGGGAAUAUUGGACAAUGGGGGGAACCCUGAUCCAGCCAUGCCGCGUGUGUGAAGAAGGCCUUAUGGUUGUAAAGCACUUUAAGCGAGGAGGAGGCUACUGAGACUAAUACUCUUGGAUAGGUACCGUAAGAAUAAGCACCGGCUAACUACGUGCCAGCAGCCGCGGUAAUACGUAGGGUGCAAGCGUUAAUCGGAAUUACUGGGCGUAAAGCGUGCGCAGGCGGUUUUGUAAGACAGAGGUGAAAUCCCCGGGCUCAACCUGGGAACUGCCUUUGUGACUGCAAGGCUAGAGUACGGCAGAGGGGGAUGGAAUUCCGCGUGUAGCAGUGAAAUGCGUAGAUAUGCGGAGGAACACCGAUGGCGAAGGCAAUCCCCUGG
Molecule: ribosomal RNA, 724 nt
Filed under: uncultured organism
Description: bacterial SSU rRNA
Rfam family: Bacterial small subunit ribosomal RNA
Source: RNAcentral